Molecule: transfer RNA, 76 nt
Filed under: Felis catus (domestic cat)
Lineage: Eukaryota; Metazoa; Chordata; Mammalia; Carnivora; Felidae
Rfam family: tRNA
About the family: Transfer RNA (tRNA) molecules are approximately 80 nucleotides in length. Their secondary structure includes four short double-helical elements and three loops (D, anti-codon, and T loops).
Source: Rfam by way of RNAcentral
GCUCAGUUGGUUAAGGGUCUGACUUCAGCUUAGGUCAUGAUCUCGCAGUUUGUGGGUUCGAGUCCCUCACUGAGCU